CUGCCAGGGAGAUAUCUCUGGACUCUACAUGGUGUAAUUUCUUGUCCCUUUCUUCACAUACCUGCCUCAUCCUUGCCAAGAAACUUUCUUCUUUGAGGUGUAUUUGGUGGAAACAUAUGUCUCCUCUCCAGAGCUCUCCUACUGAGAGGGAAAAUGCGAAUGAUGAUAGUCCCGCAUCUACCAGUCCACAUUGCUUGGCUGGGUGCAACAUCCCCAGCAAAAAGUAUUAAAUAAGCCAUUAAUAAACACAUGUGGACUGGAUAUUGUAUAAGUACAUUGAAUAAGUGGAGAUCAAUUUGUAGGUGAACAAGUGGUCAGCAGUAUGUUGUCUUGGUAAGAUGGGAUUUUGGAAGUCAGAGGAUCGUGGAAGUCAGAGGAAGACAGGGAAAGCACUGGUGAUAGGAUCAAAUGACAGAAGACAAAAAAAAAAGG
Talpa occidentalis (Iberian mole) is the source of this 432-nucleotide long non-coding RNA. RefSeq lists it as uncharacterized. Lineage: Eukaryota; Metazoa; Chordata; Mammalia; Eulipotyphla; Talpidae. The record is from RefSeq and is a predicted model, not a curated record. The transcript has 3 exons.